This 253-nucleotide ribosomal RNA is filed under the name uncultured bacterium. Its description in RNAcentral is "partial 16S ribosomal RNA". It matches the Rfam family "Bacterial small subunit ribosomal RNA", at positions 524 to 776 of the family's 1533-position model. The record is from RNAcentral.
UACGAAGGGGGCUAGCGUUGCUCGGAAUCACUGGGCGUAAAGCGCACGUAGGCGGAUUGUUAAGUCAGUGGUGAAAUCCUGCAGCUCAACUGCAGAACUGCCAUUGAUACUGUUGUUCUUGAAUACAACUGAUGUGGGCGGAAUGUGCCAUGUAGUGGUGAAAUUCGUAGAUAUUCGCAAGAACACCAGUGGCGAAGGCGGCUCACUGGCCCGGUACUGACGCUGAGGUGCGAAAGCGUGGGGAGCAAACAGG